GAUGAACGCUAGCGGCAGGCUUAAUACAUGCAAGUCAAGGGGGUAGCAAUACAACCGGCGCACGGGUGAGUAACGCGUACACAACAUGCCAUAUACUGGGGUAUAGCUUUGGGAAACUGAAGGUAAUCCCCUAUAGUAUUGCGGGUAGGCAUCUAUCUGCAAUUAAAGUUUCGACGGUAUAUGAUUGGUGUGCGUUCCAUUAGCUAGUUGGUAGGGUAACGGCCUACCAAGGCGACGAUGGGUAGCUGGCGUGAGAGCGCGACCAGCCACACUGGAACUGAGACACGGUCCAGACUCCUACGGGAGGCAGCAGUAGGGAAUAUUGGACAAUGGGCGAAAGCCUGAUCCAGCCAUGCCGCGUGAUAGAUGAAGGCCCUCUGGGUUGUAAUAUCUUUUAUCUGGGAAGAAACUCCUCUAUUCUUAGAGGCCUGACGGUACCAGAGGAAUAAGCACCGGCUAACUCCGUGCCAGCAGCCGCGGUAAUGU
This 486-nucleotide ribosomal RNA is filed under the name uncultured bacterium. RNAcentral describes it as "bacterial SSU rRNA". It matches the Rfam family "Bacterial small subunit ribosomal RNA", at positions 28 to 526 of the family's 1533-position model. The record is from RNAcentral.